This 271-nucleotide signal recognition particle RNA is filed under the name archaeon. RNAcentral's name for it is "signal recognition particle sRNA". It matches the Rfam family "Archaeal signal recognition particle RNA". The record is from RNAcentral.
GGGAUAGCUAGACUGGCGCGCUAGUCCUGCGUUGUUACCGUGAACGGACUUUACACGGAGUCGAAGCCACCUUGAGGGUUAGUUUGUUAGUUAUGGCCCAUUUUGUCUUGCUGACGGCUUGUCCUCUGGGAUGUAGUGUAUAUGGAAUCAGGUCAGAUUCGGAAGAAAGCAGCCUUAACAUAUGCAUUGUAUGUUCAGAGGGUCGCAAGUUUGAGAGGCUUUAUGGAUCAGUCCAUUUCUAGCUUGUUGAUUCGAGAGAUUGGUGUGCCCC